Oncorhynchus keta (chum salmon) is the source of this 1248-nucleotide long non-coding RNA. RefSeq lists it as uncharacterized. The record is from RefSeq and is a predicted model, not a curated record. The transcript is spliced from 3 exons. Lineage: Eukaryota; Metazoa; Chordata; Actinopteri; Salmoniformes; Salmonidae.
GCUAGUAGGAGUGAUGCUAGAUGACUCCUCUCCUCUCCUCUCCAGGUUCCUACUCCAGCUAGUAGGAGUGAUGUUAGAUGACUCCUCUCCUCUCCUCUCCAGGUUCCUACUCCAGCUAGUAGGAGUGAUGUUAGAUGACUCCUCUCCUCUCCUCUCCAGGUUCCUACUCCAGCUAGUAGGAGUGAUGCUAGAUGACUCCUCUCCUCUCCUCUCCAGGUUCCUACUCCAGCUAGUAGGAGUGAUGUUAGAUGACUCCUCUCCUCUCCUCUCCAGGUUCCUACUCCAGCUAGUAGGAGUGAUGUUAGAUGACUCCUCUCCUCUCCAGGUUCCUACUCCAGCUAGUAGGAGUGAUGUUAGAUGACUCCUCUCCUCUCCAGGUUCCUACUCCAGCUAGUAGGAGUGAUGCUAGAUGACUCCUCUCCUCUCCUCUCUCCAGGUUCCUACUCCAGCUAGUAGGAGUGAUGUUAGAUGACUCCUCUCCUCUCUCCAGGUUCCUACUCCAGCUAGUAGGAGUGAUGCUAGAUGACUCCUCUCCUCUCUCCAGGUUCCUACUCCAGCUAGUAGGAGUGAUGUUAGAUGACUCCUCUCCUCUCCUCUCUCCAGGUUCCUACUCCAGCUAGUAGGAGUGAUGUUAGAUGACUCCUCUCCUCUCCUCUCUCCAGGUUCCUACUCCAGCUAGUAGGAGUGAUGUUAGAUGACUCCUCUCCUCUCCUCUCUCCAGGUUCCUACUCCAGCUAGUAGGAGUGAUGUUAGAUGACUCCUCCUCUCCUCUCCUCUCCUCUCUCCAGGUUCCUACUCCAGCUAGUAGGAGUGAUGUUAGAUGACUCCUCUCCUCUCUCCAGGUUCCUACUCCAGCUAGUAGGAGUGAUGUUAGAUGACUCCUCUCCUCUCCUCUCUCCAGGUUCCUACUCCAGCUAGUAGGAGUGAUGCUAGAUGACUCCUCUCCUCUCCUCUCUCCAGGUUCCUACUCCAGCUAGUAGGAGUGAUGCUAGAUGACUCCUCUCCUCUCCUCUCUCCAGGUUCCUACUCCAGCUAGUAGGAGUGAUGCUAGAUGACUCCUCUCCUCUCCUCUCCAGGUUCCUACUCCAGCUAGUAGGAGUGAUGCUAGAUGACUCCUCUCCUCUCCUCUCCAGGUUCCUACUCCAGCUAGUAGGAGUGAUGUUAGAUGACUCCUCUCCUCUCCUCUCUCCAGGUUCCUACUCCAGCUAGUAGGAGUGAUGUUAGAUGACUCCUCUCCUCUCUCCAGGU